AUUCAGUAGAAACUACACUUCAGAAUUUGAAUUUUGUUCUUUUCUCAGGCUAGCAAUAUAUGGUACAAUACUCUCGUGAUGCAGGGCAGCAGCGGUGAGCCUCAGCAGCCAGGCAGCCGUGCAAUCACAAGGGUCAGGAGUUUGGUUAAGGAUUUUAACCUAGGAGUAAGUUGGAGUGACAAUAACUCAAAUAACUCAAAGAAUUGAGAAUUUGAAUUGCUCAAAGAAGAAACAGAUGUAUGUAUUUACAGAUAUAUAUUUGGAUGUAUAGAUAGAACUACAUAUAUGUAUCUAUAGAUACAUAGUAUAUGUAUGUAUUUAUUUAUAGAAACAAAAAUCUACAUAUAAUAUUUUAACUUUUUACUUAUUAACCCUUUCAGUUAUUAUUGCUAGAUUAUCCAGGUCAAUGCUUAGUUUUUAUUUUGGUUUGUUUGUUUUCUUUUCUUGUUGUCCAAAUUAAAUUAUUUAGGUAUGCUCACGCCUGUAAUCCCAGCUCUUUGGGAGGCCGAGACUGGUGGAUCAUGAGGUCAGGAGAUCGAGACCAUCCUGGCUAACACGGUGAAACCCCGUCUCUAAUAAAAAUGCAAAAAAAUUAGCUGGGCCUGG
This 606-nucleotide long non-coding RNA is filed under the name Homo sapiens (human). Its description in RNAcentral is "HSALNT0244641". The record is from RNAcentral. Lineage: Eukaryota; Metazoa; Chordata; Mammalia; Primates; Hominidae.